Molecule: unclassified non-coding RNA, 366 nt
Filed under: soil metagenome
Description: partial contains 5.8S ribosomal RNA, internal transcribed spacer 2, and large subunit ribosomal RNA
Rfam family: 5.8S ribosomal RNA (bases 1-120)
Source: RNAcentral
GAUGAAGAACGCAGCGAAAUGCGAUAAGUAGUGUGAAUUGCAGAAUUCAGUGAAUCAUCGAAUCUUUGAACGCACAUUGCGCCCCCUGGUAUUCCGGGGGGCAUGCCUGUCCGAGCGUCAUUACAACCCUCAAGCCCGGCUUGUGUAAUGGGCGGCCGUCUCUCCCCCCGGGGGGAGACGCCCCCGAAACUCAGUGGGGAUGUCGCGAUACCGAAGCCUCAGCUAAUGGGUAAACCACAGCUGCAAUGGCCGCGGCCGGCGUCCGCCUUCCACGGUCCGUCCGCCUAGCGCGGGCGGCCUUCUCAAGGUUGACCUCGGAUCAGGUAGGGAUACCCGCUGAACUUAAGCAUAUCAAUAAGCGGAGGA